UGGCAGUGCUGAGACCCGGAAGUGAGUACGUUUAACAUGGUUUUAAAGUUAGGCCGACCAGAAAUGGUGUGCAUUAACAAGAGUCCAGAAUGCAUGUUGGACUUCAGGAUCAGAGUCAGGAAAGAAACUUUUAAGACAACAUCAAUGAGCCACGUGGAGGCUGGCCUUAUUAAGGGAUAGAAAUUGCAUCUCCAUCAGUGGACAGAGCAGAAAACGGAUGACGGAAAGGGAAUGUUAUGCAGCGCUCCAAUUAACGGUGCUGGGAUACAACCAAACUGUCAUGUGCCGCUGCAUGUGUAAUUCAAACACCUAAUUAAGGGAAUGGAUUUUUGCACUUGUCCUGUUCUGUGACUCUAGUAUAUACAGAUUAGCAGUUGCAUUGGAUACUAACCAUAACACCAAGGUGUGAAUUCACACCUCAUUCUGUUUGAGAUCUCCUUGACGAAUGUGGUCUGUGUGAAGACUUGACACCUGGGGGGAACACAAAGAACUGCUGAGAAGAUCUACUCCAGUCCUAAGGAAUAUAUGGAUAUACUGUACAAUGUUUUUUUCCUCACUGCAAUUUAUUGUUCAGUGUAUAUUUUCUGGCUGAUACAGUAUGUGGACUUGCUUGGCAUCCUCCCUAAAUUAGGGGUGUGUAGCAAGAGCAGUGCUUAUACUCAUGAUUGUAUCUUAUUUUGUUAGGUAAGUGGUCAAGUGCUUGCAUUUAAACUUUAAACCCAUGCAGAUGUAUCAAACCCAAACUGAAUUUAAAAUGCUGAUGAAAAAUGAUGAUUCUUAUAUAAAAACAUAAUAGACUAAAACUUUUUUUUGUAUAUUGGAUCAUUAACAAGAUUAUAUUGCUUGAAUUAGGCUAUAUUUCAAACUACCUUUCUGUAUGUUUCAGGUACAAUAAAAUAGUACCAGGGUUCAUAAUAUACCAUAGCAGACCGGGUGGUCAUAGGCAUAGGCAGUAAUUGGGAUGACUGUUUUCAUAACUUUUAAAAUGGUUCUAGCAUCUAUUUCAUACAUUGAUUUGGUACUGACAAUAAUUCCACCCAGGGUUGUGGUUCUUUACCAUUGUCACCAUAGGCUUGAUCUUGUACAGUAGGUGUUCAAGCCAAGGUUUACUGUGAAGCAUAUGGUGACAGUUGUAUUUAAAAUGUGCUAUACAAAUACAUUUGAUUUGAUUUGAAUUCAGCCAGUGGCUGCAGUUCAAUUUAAAGUUCACUUUCAGUAGCCCAACUUUGUUUCAGCACUGAGAUUUAGGCAGUAUCACAUUUAAACCAACAAGCAAAAUAAGUAAAUUAAGUGGAAACAGCAGUGAGUAUGCAGCAGUUUCACAACACCAUUGGUUGUACUGAAUGAAAAACCAAUCAUAGUACUUAAUGGGCUGUGACCAAAGCAAUGUCAGAUGAACAUUUUGAGCUAGGUACAUACCAGGUCAGGGAUACUUCAAAAAGUAGCACUGGUGUUAGCUAGUUAUUUUUGUUUAUUUACAGAAACAGAACUGUUGUAAUGACAAAUGAAAGUUAAAUUUAGUGGAUGUGAGAAAAAUCAUCCUUUAAGGAAACCCCCAAAACAAUUUGUAACACAAUUAAAUAAAAAUCAUAAUGCGGCAAUCUGUCUUAUUUGCGCAUUAAGAUGUAUUAUGAUGGCAAGGAACAAAAUUUUCUAAACAACCCUACUUUUAGUUUCUUGGUAAUAUUAUGAAAUGUCUUCCGUUCCCACUGAAUAUGCAUGUGUGAUGUGUGGCCAAGUGGGUGAGCAGGUUAACAAAUCUGUUAUUAUUGAAUGUAAGUGUAGUGUCACCAUGGCUACUGACAGGGAUCAGGGCCUAAGGCGUGAUUGAGAGUCCUUGCAAUGCAGGCUAUUUUUUAUUAAAGCAAUUUUGCGAUAUAACAGUGACCAUGCCCGAGGCACGAGAAAAAAGUAAACAAGACUAUUCAUUUUAGCUGAACUUGACCUUCAACUUUCAGUCACUAAUCCAAUUAAUCAAAAAUCUUUUACUUAUUAUCUUUAACCUUCUGCUGACCUUAACUUAUUUUUUCAAUUUAAGUGUAUAAUUUCCUUUUUUUUCAUGUGUAGACAUUCUUUAAUGGUUUUGGAACUGUUUUUUUUUUGCCAUUUCUGCAUACCCUGGCUUCAGGAAAAACUGACUUAUUUAGUUCCAUCCUCUGAAAUCUGCCUGAACUCCAGCAAGGUAAUUCAUGCCUUGAAACAUUGCAGGACUAAUCAAUUCACAGUACUGUUAUUAUUUUAAUAUUUUUUCUAUUCUUGGAUAUAUAUAAGUAUAUUUGUAUAUAAAUAUAUCAGUAUAUUUUUCACUUAAUAGAUAUCAUUUGAUAACUGCUGUUGCUAUGGUGAGCAGUUAUGGUAUCAACUAGAAUGGAGAAUGAAAAGUUUCUGAUUUCUGGCUCAACAAUGCUUUCUUUGUCAGUGCCAAUAUUUUAUCGGCAUCUGUUGUUCCAGGUGUCAAUUGGCUAAUUGAGACACAUUUAUGAAACCCCAGGGCCUGUAAAUCUGGAUCUUUUCCAGUUGUAUAGUCCCUUUGGGAAACAUUUAUAUUUCAAAAAGAAAUGCUCUUUCAUUUUGCAUUUAAACCCUCAACACAAUGCUUCACAAUUAAACUGGUAGAAUACAAACUCCAGACUACAUAUAGACUCUUCAGCCAAAUAAACGUGAUGUAGUCAGCCAGAAGGCUAUGUACCUAGUUAGUGAUGUAUGCCAUCAUUUCCCACCCCUACACAUGGAGAUGGAGCUUAGCUUGCUAGAAACCUAUCAUGUGAACUCUGGGUCAACAUCAUGAUAUCUAUUGAACAUUUGCCAGCAAAGUCACCCUAACCUGCUGUUAAAUCUGUCUUCCCAUUUAGGUUACAGUUCUCAAAUGGCACUGUAUCCCUGUUGACAAAGCCAUCAUUGCUGACAGGCUAUUUUUAAAUAAACCAGUGGAAUCAGAGCAUGCUCCCCUAAUACCAAAUGUGCAUAAUUCCCAGAAUAGAUAUUUUAAAAAUGCAAUGUCUCAAUCUUAUACAUAUGAAAUUCAUAAGCAUAUCAGUAUCCUCUCUGAUUAUGGGAACUUCUAUGCUUAAGAACAGCCUGCCUCUUCUGUUAUGUAGCAAACAACCAAGUCAUAAACUUGAAAGGCAACAGGCAAGUGAUUAAAUUGGGAGCUUCUUCGGAAACUCAGAAUGCGAUUAGGAUGUUUUGGUAUGAGUAAAAUUUGAGCCUGAGCUGCAAUGUGAAGUACAAAGUCAUUAUCUAACAUUCAGGGUUGAGCACUCAACACAGUUGCAGGUAAAAUGCAGUCCUGCUGUAUGAGGAGAUUACACAAGUUAAUAGUGAAGUGCGGUGCCUCGCUGACAUUUUCUCAUUCACAUUUUCCUUUCUAUUCAUGUGAGAAGCAACGAUAGUGAACUCGAGUUUGAUAGCUGUUGAGCGAACAUGUCACAAUUUCCAUUCCCCUAUUUAGAUUGCGGCAAAUCGCUGUUCCUUGGUCAAAUCUGAUGACAUUAUGAUUCCCGGUUCUCCAGGUGGCGGAUUAAAGAAGGGGGUGAAUCUUUGGGUGGCAGUGGAGAUAGCAGCUUGACAUUCAUAUGUCAUCCUCUUUCAUGCACACUCGUUUUUCCGUUUUGAAGGGAGACCAAAGAGUUUGGGUUUCACAAUGAGUCAAAACAAAGUUGGUGCUACCAAAGUGCACGCUGCCCUUCUAUGCACCCAGCUAUGAUGCUGAUCUGUGAGAAUGCUUAAGUCAGGGGCAUACUGCAAAGUAUAUAUGGACUUUAUCACUUAGAACUCCUAGUGCUUUCUAUAUAACUGAAGCUCUAAACUGUUACAAGGUGCGGCUGAGCAAGCCAGGUACUGCCUUUGAUGCCUUCUCAUCCUCUCAGCCACAUAUCCACCAUUUGUUGAGGCCACUGUCCACUUGGCAUGACAAAAUUGCAUAUGAGUUCUAUUUUUUAUUUUGAGAGGAAAUGGCAUGGGUAACAGUGAGGUUAGAUAAGGCUCUCUGCAGGCCCACUGUUUACUACUGUUGUUUACUGAAUUUUAUUAUCAGUUUCAUAUUUUGUUCAAUCAGGGGCACAGUGCAAAACACGCAUGAAUUUUAUCAGUUAAUUCUAUUGGUUUUGCUAUGCUCCAGAAUCUGACUCAAGCUUCAAACUUCAAAAUAUCAGAUAUUAUAUCAUAAAAGCAGUUAGAUAGGAAAGCUGCAGCAUUAGAGCUGUUACAAGGAGCAUCUAAAUUUCAAUUAAAUAAAUGGGAAAGGGAACCACAGAGGAAUCACUGGCUAUCCAUAUAAAAACUAUUUCAUUGCUAACCUUACAAAAUAAGAGUCCCUGAUUAGGAUUUGCAGGGUCUUUGUUGGCAGUUAGCGCUGAUGAGAACAUUUUUAGAUGCAAACCAUUACAAUCCAGGGAAUCAUGAUGCUUAGUCAUCAAAGCCACAUGGGCAGAUUGUGUUUUACCCAGUUGUUCCAUUUUUUACUAUCAAUAGGCUAUGAGUAACAAAAAUAAGA
This is a long non-coding RNA of Anguilla anguilla (European eel), 4495 nucleotides long. RefSeq lists it as uncharacterized. The transcript is spliced from 2 exons. The record is from RefSeq and is a predicted model, not a curated record. NCBI's taxonomy places the organism in Eukaryota, Metazoa, Chordata, Actinopteri, Anguilliformes, Anguillidae.